RNAcentral lists this ribosomal RNA (301 nucleotides) under uncultured bacterium. RNAcentral's name for it is "partial 16S ribosomal RNA". It matches the Rfam family "Bacterial small subunit ribosomal RNA", at positions 509 to 807 of the family's 1533-position model. The record is from RNAcentral.
CAGCAGCCGCGGGAAUACAGAGGGUGCGAGCGUUAAUCGGAUUUACUGGGCGUAAAGCGUGCGUAGGCGGCUUUUUAAGUCGGAUGUGAAAUCCCUGAGCUUAACUUAGGAAUUGCAUUCGAUACUGGGAAGCUAGAGUAUGGGAGAGGAUGGUAGAAUUCCAGGUGUAGCGGUGAAAUGCGUAGAGAUCUGGAGGAAUACCGAUGGCGAAGGCAGCCAUCUGGCCUAAUACUGACGCUGAGGUACAAAAGCAUGGGGAGCAAACAGGAUUAGAUACCCGAGUAGUCCCUGUCUCUUAUAC